RNAcentral lists this ribosomal RNA (411 nucleotides) under Clostridioides difficile. RNAcentral describes it as "partial 23S ribosomal RNA". It matches the Rfam family "Bacterial large subunit ribosomal RNA", at positions 1 to 414 of the family's 2925-position model. Lineage: Bacteria; Bacillati; Bacillota; Clostridia; Peptostreptococcales; Peptostreptococcaceae. The record is from RNAcentral.
GGUCAAGUUAUUAAGGGUGCAGGGCGGAUGCCUUGGCACUAGGAGCCGAUGAAGGACGUGAUAAGCUGCGAUAAGCUUCGGGGAGUUGCACGUAAACUUUGAUCCGAAGAUUUCCGAAUGAGGAAACUCACUUAGAGUAAUGUCUAAGUAUCAUUAAGUGAAUACAUAGCUUAAUGAGGGGAACUCAGGGAACUGAAACAUCUAAGUACCUGAAGGAAGAGAAAGAAAUUCGAUUCCGUAAGUAGCGGCGAGCGAACGCGGAUUAGCCCAAACCAAUAAAGUUUUCUUUAUUGGGGUUGCGGACAUAUCAUAACGAAGAGGUAUCGUAAUUGAAGAGGUUUGGAAAGACCCACCACAGAAGGUAAUAGUCCUGUAUGUUAAACGAGAAGACUUUAGAUAUGAUCCAGAGUA